GUUUUUAGCCUCUAAGCUCUGCCAGCAUGCCCAAGUGGAAUGAGAUGUUCAAGGCCCAAGCGCAAAUGGACAUGCUCCGGUGAAAAGCUUCUGCAAAGUGGGAGUGAAAUGUUUCAGCUGCACAAAGAAAAUCUUUACCUCCCCAGCUGGACCUCUGAGUGAGUCAGGACCUAAUUUGGGUUGAAAAAGACCUCAGGACAUCUCCAGCCCAAUCUCCUGAUCAAAGCAGAACCAGUACACACUGUCAUCAAGAGCCUGUGUUUGUUUCCUGGAUGACCUCCCUGUAGAUAUUGGGAUAUCCUCCUCACUGAAGCCAG
Molecule: non-coding RNA, 317 nt
Organism: Zonotrichia albicollis (white-throated sparrow)
Lineage: Eukaryota; Metazoa; Chordata; Aves; Passeriformes; Passerellidae
Source: RefSeq, a predicted model, not a curated record